This is a long non-coding RNA of Sycon ciliatum, 432 nucleotides long. RefSeq lists it as uncharacterized. The record is from RefSeq and is a predicted model, not a curated record. NCBI's taxonomy places the organism in Eukaryota, Metazoa, Porifera, Calcarea, Leucosolenida, Sycettidae. The transcript is spliced from 5 exons.
GCAUCCACCCAGGCCAGGACUGCACUUACUUACGGGAAGGAGCAUUUGCAAGAAUCAUUAGAUGGAACCUGGGAACUGGAAGACGACGAAGAAGAAGUGUGGGAAUCCGGCGGCAAUGGCUGGGAUGACUGAACUUACGGGAAUGAGUGCUUCGGAGAUGGGAGACGAAGAAGAAGAAGCCGCUGAAUCCGGCGGCAAUGGCUGGGAUGCUGCGUUCUCGAGAAGAAGCGUUAUUUCUGCAUUCCAAGAAGGACGGCACAAUGUGUCGGACUGUCCGCGUCGCAUUGAACUGGUCCGAUGAGGCUGCUAUUGCACACACAAUGAGGAACUCCCAUACGGGAACUCGGAAGUACUGCUACAGUACAGGUAUUUCAUCUUGUGACGACCACAUCGAAGUCUGAAUUUGAAGUGUGAAGAUGCUUCAGCAACCCC